UACGUAGGGUCCAAGCGUUGUCCGGAUUUAUUGGGCGUAAAGAGCUCGUAGGCGGUUCGGUAAGUCGGAUGUGAAAACUCAGGGCUCAACCCGGAGACGCCAUCCGAUACUGCUGUGACUUGAGUCUGGUAGGGGAACACGGAAUACCUGGUGUAGCGGUGAAAUGCGCAGAUAUCAGGUGGAACACCGAUUGCGAAGGCAGCUCGCUGGGACGUGACUGACGCUGAGACGCGAAAGCGUGGGGAGCAAACAGG
This 254-nucleotide ribosomal RNA is filed under the name uncultured bacterium. Its description in RNAcentral is "partial 16S ribosomal RNA". It matches the Rfam family "Bacterial small subunit ribosomal RNA", at positions 524 to 776 of the family's 1533-position model. The record is from RNAcentral.